RNAcentral lists this ribosomal RNA (402 nucleotides) under uncultured prokaryote. Its description in RNAcentral is "bacterial SSU rRNA". It matches the Rfam family "Bacterial small subunit ribosomal RNA", at positions 355 to 774 of the family's 1533-position model. The record is from RNAcentral.
UGGGGAAUAUUGGACAAUGGGCGCAAGCCUGAUCCAGCCAUGCCGCGUGAGUGAUGAAGGCCCUAGGGUUGUAAAGCUCUUUUGGCGGGGAAGAUAAUGACGGUACCCGGAGAAGAAGCCCCGGCUAACUUCGUGCCAGCAGCCGCGGUAAUACGAAGGGGGCUAGCGUUGCUCGGAAUUACUGGGCGUAAAGGGAGCGUAGGCGGAUAGUUUAGUCAGAGGUGAAAGCCCAGGGCUCAACCUUGGAAUUGCCUUUGAUACUGGCUAUCUUGAGUAUGGAAGAGGUAUGUGGAACUCCGAGUGUAGAGGUGAAAUUCGUAGAUAUUCGGAAGAACACCAGUGGCGAAGGCGACAUACUGGUCCAUUACUGACGCUGAGGCUCGAAAGCGUGGGGAGCAAACA